GAUCUGUAAAUUAUAAUGCAUGUGAUGCGAAUGGUGAUGAUCAUGGAUGACCCUUUGUGAAUGUGCUGAUAUAAUCUGCGAUGUAAUCUGUGAUGUUAUGUGAUGACAUGUAAAUCAAUUUUUCAGAUGCCUGCGAGCACCUCAAAUUCAUGUAUUAGAGACCUGCGUGUCUCAUGAAAAAGGGUUGUAAUUAUUCUUUUAUUUUUGAAUUUUAUCUGGGAUGUAAUCUGUGAUGUAUGUUGCACGUCGAUGGUUGAUCGAUGUGUGCCUCCUACAAGCAAGCCGUGCGCGGGUUGAGAUCAUAGGUUGAUUGAAGAUGGAUCAACGAGUUGAUUACAAUUGAAUCUAGGGGAUCAAGAUCGAGUCAAGAGUUGAAGACGAUCAAACCAAUUGACGUGCAUGUGCUUGUACUAUAACCCAUCCUGGAUCCAUGAUCAUCACCAGUUACAUUUACUAUUUUUUAUAUAUAUGCCUGGAUGUUUAAUGUUUAUGCCUAUGCAUAGCGGGUAGAUGGAUGUGUGCGUGAGAUGCGAGUUGCCAAUCGAAAUAGACCUAAACUAAAACCUCCUCAAUCAAGUCGAGAGUGAACCAACAUGAGCGGGUCAUAUUAGAUUAAUUGAUCUAAUUGGUGUCUAGGAAAGCAUGAAAGGUAGUUACUUAAUUAGGACCUUACUCUCUGAGUAAGGGGAGCCU
This 693-nucleotide long non-coding RNA is filed under the name Phoenix dactylifera (date palm). RNAcentral describes it as "long non-coding RNA (PDAC_LNC010957)". The record is from RNAcentral. Lineage: Eukaryota; Viridiplantae; Streptophyta; Magnoliopsida; Arecales; Arecaceae.